RNAcentral lists this long non-coding RNA (556 nucleotides) under Theobroma cacao (cacao). RNAcentral describes it as "long non-coding RNA (TCAC_LNC004575)". Lineage: Eukaryota; Viridiplantae; Streptophyta; Magnoliopsida; Malvales; Malvaceae. The record is from RNAcentral.
AUUAAUUCCAUUUUUCUCCCAAUUCUUCAAAUCACCAAACACAAGUCAAAUAACAUAAAAUUUAACAAAACUAUCCUCACAUUUCUUUUUGAGUAUUUCGGCCAUGGUGAGUGCAUCAACACUAUGAUUUUUCGUAUUUGAUUUUCUCACCGUAAUUCAUCAUUUCCUAACCAAUUCACUUGAAAUAAAAUCAAAUCCACCAUCCACACUCUACAUGGAAAAUUCAGCCAAUGAUGGGUGAUGGGAGAAAGUGAAUUUCUCUUGUUGGCUUUUCAUGCUACACAUCACUAACUAUCUGCAAACACUAAAAUACAUUAAAAUCUAACCAAAUCAAGCAUCAAAACUCCUGCCUCCAUGUCCGGACAGUAAGGGUAUCCUCAUGCAAACUUGAUUCUCAACCAUGGGAAAUGAAAAAGAAUGCAUGGGAAAGGUAGAUCACAAGCUAAACUCGAGAAAUUUUACCUUUGAUUGCUUGAUUACUUGAAAUCCACCAAUUUUCUCUUGAAUUUUCACUCUAGGGUUCUUGUUCUUUCUUUUCUUCCUUUGUUCUUCUUUG